GGGCCCGUAGCUCAGCCUGGUGGAGCGCUCGGCUGAUAACCGAGAGGCCGGGGGUUCAAAUCCCCCCGGGCCCA
RNAcentral lists this transfer RNA (74 nucleotides) under Thermoprotei archaeon. Its description in RNAcentral is "tRNA-Ile". It matches the Rfam family "tRNA". From Rfam's summary of the family: Transfer RNA (tRNA) molecules are approximately 80 nucleotides in length. Their secondary structure includes four short double-helical elements and three loops (D, anti-codon, and T loops). Lineage: Archaea; Thermoproteati; Thermoproteota; Thermoprotei. RNAcentral also lists the same sequence under 2 other names. The record is from RNAcentral.